ACGAACGCUGGCGGCGUGCUUAACCCAUGCAAGUCGAACGGAAAGGCUUCUUUCGGGGGGUACUCGAGUGGCGAACGGGUGAGUAACACGUGAGUAACCUGCCCUUGACUUUGGGAUAACUUCAGGAAACUGGGGCUAAUACCGGAUAGGAGCUCCUGCUGCAUGGUGGGGGUUGGAAAGUUUCGGCGGUUGGGGAUGGACUCGCGGCUUAUCAGCUUGUUGGUGGGGUAGUGGCUUACCAAGGCUUUGACGGGUAGCCGGCCUGAGAGGGUGACCGGCCACAUUGGGACUGAGAUACGGCCCAGACUCCUACGGGAGGCAGCAGUGGGGAAUAUUGCACAAUGGGUGGAAGCCUGAUGCAGCAACGCCGUGUGCGGGAUGACGGCCUUCGGGUUGUAAACCGCUUUCGCUCAUGACGAAGCUUUGUGUGACGGUAGUGGGUAAAGAAGCACCGGCUAACUACGUG
RNAcentral lists this ribosomal RNA (466 nucleotides) under uncultured bacterium. RNAcentral's name for it is "partial 16S ribosomal RNA". It matches the Rfam family "Bacterial small subunit ribosomal RNA", at positions 29 to 507 of the family's 1533-position model. The record is from RNAcentral.